AAACAGCUCUAAAGCAGACAAACUGCCCCUCUCUCCUCUGGAUCAUGCCCAUAUCAAUCAUUUUCAUUGUCUUCUCGGUUCGAAGUCUCUUCGAGCUCAAAGUAA
RNAcentral lists this small RNA (105 nucleotides) under Aristerostoma sp. ATCC 50986. RNAcentral describes it as "partial transfer-messenger RNA". The record is from RNAcentral. Lineage: Eukaryota; Ciliophora; Colpodea; Cyrtolophosidida; Cyrtolophosididae.